CUGGGUGAAAAAUGGAGGAGCCAACAAUUACAUCAAAGAAAAAAAAAUACAAAGAUUUUACCUGUGGAUGGACCUGCAAGAUUAGUAGAAAUAUACUGUGGUUGAGGAGGGAGGAUGAGGGAAGGAGGGAAAAAUAUAAGAUGAUUUGGAUAGCAAAUGUUAAAGAAAGGGAAGUACUACUGUUAUGAUUAUGUAUAUAAAAUCCAAUAAAAAUAUUUAAAACCUCUUUAAAAAACAAACAAAGGCAGAGGCUUCUUCUUUAAUUUCCAGCUUCUGGAGACGGUGCCCAUCUCUAGUUCUGUGGAGAUGCUUUUUUCCUUAUUUUAAGCCAAGGAGCCUGUGUUCUUACCGGCAAGAUUGCUUGGAGUGUCUCUUUGCCUUUUCCUGCAGAAGCAGUACCUAUUGAUCUACUCACAUUUGCAUGUUUUCGAACUGCUAGGUUGACAAAAAAUGAAGCUUACAGAUGGGAGCUCACCCUGUCUCACAGAUUCGAACUGCAAACCUUCAGAUCAGCAAUUCAGCCAACCUUCAGAAGAAUGCUGCCAAUCGCCAGAGGCAGACAUGUUUAUCAAGCUGUGUAUCUUGACGUCUGACAUAAAAUCUUUGGUACGGCCCAAAAAGUUUCUGUCAGCACCUUAGAGACUGUGAGCCCAAUGGAGUUGGCAUGGGACCAGAGAGAGCAAGGCCAGCGGUGGAGCAAUUGACACCAAGCCAAGAAUUACAAAAAGAGGGAAAGUCAUACUCGAGGAGAACAGCCCCUUUUCUCUCUCCAUUCUGCUUAAUAUUGAACAGAGGCAUCUAAACCACAAAUCUGCCACAGUUUAGGUGAAAAGGGUGUAGAGAUUUUUUUUUCUUCCAAAGCAAAGCACUUCUUUGCUUGCCAGCCUAAGGGAUAUAUCAUCAUACUAGGUGUCAAAGCCGUGUCAAUGAGAUGAUAAAAUUUAUUGCAUAAAGUAUGCCCUCUUGAAAAACAAAAACACCCUUCAAGAAACAUCAGAAUCAGCCUUUGUUUCUGUUUUCAAUUUUAACCAUUAUUUUUUAAAUAAAGGUGAAUAACUUGU
Anolis carolinensis (green anole) is the source of this 1061-nucleotide long non-coding RNA. RefSeq lists it as uncharacterized. The record is from RefSeq and is a predicted model, not a curated record. The transcript has 2 exons. NCBI's taxonomy places the organism in Eukaryota, Metazoa, Chordata, Lepidosauria, Squamata, Anolidae.